This is a non-coding RNA of Equus caballus (horse), 1146 nucleotides long. The record is from RefSeq and is a predicted model, not a curated record. Lineage: Eukaryota; Metazoa; Chordata; Mammalia; Perissodactyla; Equidae.
GAAAGUCCUGAACUGUUCCAGGCUUCUUUCCCCAGUCACAGCAGUGCCUCACCCCUUCCAGACCUCCUACAGCUUUGAAAAGGCCUACCAAAGCAUCUGUAAUGUCCACCUCCAUUUCCUGCAGCGGGUCUGGAUAACUAAAAGGGGCCUUAGAAGCCAUCACGUCCAGGCACCCUGUGUGCCACAGAAGGAAAAAGUGGCCCGGAAAGGCUAAGUGACUGACCCAUGCUCACACAGGUGGCAGCUCUAAAAUAAAAACUAACAAGAUCAAAGGUUUGGAUUUGCAACAGCUGUAAACUGUCCAGUGGGACAGAGGGAAAUAGAAUACCUUUUCACAAAGAGCUUCACGACCUGAGGCAUCAAGAGGAAACUGGCCUCCGAGACUGUUGUACACAGGUGAGAUCAUCUAGAAGACCAGCAUAUCUGUUAUAUAGCACAGUGUUGACAUCCUGCAGCAUAUUAAAAGUACAUAUGCAAACGAUCUUGAUCUCUUAGUUUUGCCACAUGUCCGGUGGUUAUAUAAGGUGACAGCAUGAAGAGAAGCUGGGUGAAGAGUACAGGGCGGCUCUGUACUAGCUUUGCAGCUUUUCUGUAAAUCUAAAAUUAAAAGUUUAAGUAAUACACAGUUGAAUAUGACAGCCCAAUUUGAUUAGUAAGCUGUUGAUAAGAAGUACCUCUGUGAUGCUGAAAUCAGGUAUUUGGUGACUCCAGCCGAUCAGAGCAUAGCUAUGAAUACUGAAAUCAGAGGAAAGGUCUUUGAGCAGCUAAAAGCUCCCAUGAACUCAUAGGAAAAGCAGAGCCAUCCUCAGGCCCGCUCACAGUGGCUGCGCGUGAAGGGACUGAAAAGAGUGGAAGCUGCUGAGAAACACAGAUGGCAGCCAGCAGUGCCAGAAAGAAAACCACCAGUAAAUACACAGCUGGUUGGGGACAUUUGGUGUAGGGGCGAACAGGAUCACAUACUGCAAGGAGUGUGACUGAAUUAUAAUGCAUUUCAAUGGAGGGCAUUCACAAUGAUGUUCUUGGAUGACAAAGAAAGGUUGGAGUUAUCUUUGGCUCAGGCAGGAAAUGCUUCCUAGAAGUUUCUGUUCAUCUCUGCUCACACACCCUCCACUCAGGUGGAAAUAUAUUGCAAAAGUAAGAGCGGGG